This is a small nucleolar RNA of Hypanus sabinus (Atlantic stingray), 73 nucleotides long. The record is from RefSeq and is a predicted model, not a curated record. NCBI's taxonomy places the organism in Eukaryota, Metazoa, Chordata, Chondrichthyes, Myliobatiformes, Dasyatidae.
UUGUGAUGAAACCAAACUCAAUUUGCUGGAAUUACCGUCAGAUUGAUCAGUGUUGAGUAAUGGUUUUCUGAAU